GCUGGGAGUGGUGGUGGGCGCCUGUAAUCCCAGCUGCUCAGGAGGCUGGGGCAGGAGAAUUGCUUGAACCCAGGAGGUGGAGAUUGCAGUGGGCAGAGAUCAUGCCACUGCACUCCAGCCUGGGUGACAGAGCAAGAUUCUGUCUCAA
Molecule: non-coding RNA, 148 nt
Filed under: Homo sapiens (human)
Lineage: Eukaryota; Metazoa; Chordata; Mammalia; Primates; Hominidae
Source: Rfam by way of RNAcentral